RNAcentral lists this long non-coding RNA (694 nucleotides) under Chinchilla lanigera (long-tailed chinchilla). RNAcentral describes it as "lncRNA (ENSCLAG00000024544.1)". Lineage: Eukaryota; Metazoa; Chordata; Mammalia; Rodentia; Chinchillidae. The record is from RNAcentral.
CAAAUCUCUUAUGCAAGGAAAGAGGGCUAAAAUGUUUUCUGUUGAUCUACAACUGAAGGGGCCAUUUCAAGGAUCCAUAUUUAUCACCAGGAAGAUGGUGUUACUCUCAUAUGAGGGACCCUAGAAGAUGUUAUGUGUUGCAGAAAACCCUCUGCACAGCCAGCCCUUGGAGAAAAAAUGGAGAAUGUAUGUGUGGCAAUCUCAACCACCAAGAUUACCCAACCAGCAGGUCACAGUACUAAUAAACGGCAUGAAGCUAAUGGUUACCUCUCUGAGCUCCUCUUCUAACUGUAGAAGCCAAAGAUUUGAAGUGAGAUUUUCAGUUCAACUCUUGAGUACAGUUACCAACAUUGAGCAGACUUGUUCUUCAAACUCUGCUAUUCACAUAUCAAUGGAAAGUUCAAGCUUGCAGCUGUUCGACAACCAAGGUAUCACUCUGCGGUAUUCUCUUGGUUCAACAACUAAGAUAUCACUGUAUGACACAGUCUUCUAUUCUCUUUUCAAAUAAACUAUUAACACUAUAACACCCAGUUUCUAUACUUCAGCUGCAUUACUCUCCAUAUUCCCUUUUAUUCUAGCUACAGUUGUCUUCCAAUCAUUUCAUUUCUAUAUUGUAAGAAUGUACAGUAGUCCUCCUUUAUCUGUAGAAGAAGCGUUUCUAGGCACCUGGUUCCUGCCGGAAGCCACAAUGUAC